AGUGAACGCUGGCGGUAGGCCUAACACAUGCAAGUCGAACGGCAGCACAGUAAGAGCUUGCUCUUACGGGUGGCGAGUGGCGGACGGGUGAGGAAUACAUCGGAAUCUACUUUUUCGUGGGGGAUAACGUAGGGAAACUUACGCUAAUACCGCAUACGACCUACGGGUGAAAGCAGGGGAUCUUCUGACCUUGCGCGAUUGAAUUAGCCGAUGUCGGAUUAGCUAGUUGGCGGGGUAAAGGCCCACCAAGGCGACGAUCCGUAGCUGGUCUGAGAGGAUGAUAAGCAACACUGGAACUGAGACACGGUCCAGACUCCUACGGGAGGCAGCAGUGGGGAAUAUUGGACAAUGGGCGAAAGCCUGAUCCAGCCAUACCGCGUGGGUGAAGAAGGCCUUCGGGUUGUAAAGCCCUUUUGUUGGGAAAGAAAAGCAGCAGGUUAAUACCCCGCUGUUCUGACGGUACCCAAAGAAUAAGCACCGGCUAACUUCGUG
This 492-nucleotide ribosomal RNA is filed under the name uncultured bacterium. Its description in RNAcentral is "partial 16S ribosomal RNA". It matches the Rfam family "Bacterial small subunit ribosomal RNA", at positions 29 to 507 of the family's 1533-position model. The record is from RNAcentral.